CCUACGGGAGGCAGCUGUGGGGAAUAUUGGACAAUGGGCGAAAGCCUGAUCCAGCAAUACCGCGUGUGUGAAGAAGGCCUGAGGGUUGUAAAGCACUUUCAAUGGGAAGGAAUACCUAUCGGUUAAUACCCGGUAGACUGACAUUACCCAUACAAGAAGCACCGGCUAACUCCGUGCCAGCAGCCGCGGUAAU
This 193-nucleotide ribosomal RNA is filed under the name uncultured Methylococcaceae bacterium. RNAcentral's name for it is "partial 16S ribosomal RNA". It matches the Rfam family "Bacterial small subunit ribosomal RNA", at positions 338 to 524 of the family's 1533-position model. The record is from RNAcentral. Lineage: Bacteria; Pseudomonadati; Pseudomonadota; Gammaproteobacteria; Methylococcales; Methylococcaceae.